GUAUUGACCGACAAAGCUGUUCAGCGGUUUUAGCCCUGAAAAGGCGCGGUAUGACAGGGUCGGGGAGUCCUGGGAUCCAAGGAGCUGCACAGCUGUUGAGAACGCUGACAAGGGUCCUGAGAGGGUUUCUUCCUCGGACACUUCGCGAUUGAUGUGUAAAUGAACUAAUGCACUGGAUUUUGGGUCGUCCAUUUACAGAUUUCUUCUCAGAUCCAGUAAGGUUACAAGUCAAGCUGUUGCUUUUACUUAAGAGGAUUGGAUACAGUGUAUGUAACCUGGGCACAAAACAUCAUUGUUCUCUAACAUGGUUGUUGUGCUGAUAACAGGAGUCUGUGGAAGUGGAAAGACAACUGUGGCGCGAGCUUUGGCAAAGAAGUUGUCAUGCCCUUACAUGGAUGCAGACAAUUUCCAUUCACAAGGUAACAUCACAAAAAUGAAGCAAGGAACCCCACUCACUGACGAGGACAGACAACCUUGGCUCCUGGCUUUGCACAAAGUUAUUGAAAGGUAUUCAUGAAUAAUAUCUGUUAGUUAUAAUUUGUUUAAUGUACUAUGACUGAGGAAAAAUCCAGGGCAGGAAAUAAUUAUUUCAAUAUAUUGGUCAAGCACCCAGCCUGAUAACUGAAAUUACUCCAGAUUGUAGUGGUAUAUAUUGAAGUACUAUUGUCUGAGUUUAUCACAUCUGGAACAAAAUUUGAGUGUUGAAAGUCUCUGUUUGAGACUUUUUUGCUGAUGGAGUGGUAACCUUUGUCUGUUCCACAAGGACAUCACAAGAGAAUGAAUCCUUUUAAAUAUGACCAAAUUAGAGUAAUCCUAUAACUAGCAAAAUGUAACUGACAGGUGUUGAUGGACACUUACCCAGCCCAGUUAUUCUAGUAAAUGUUUCACUAAA
This is a long non-coding RNA of Orbicella faveolata, 892 nucleotides long. The record is from RefSeq and is a predicted model, not a curated record. NCBI's taxonomy places the organism in Eukaryota, Metazoa, Cnidaria, Anthozoa, Scleractinia, Merulinidae.